CCUACGGGAGGCAGCAGUGAGGAAUUUUCCGCAAUGGACGAAAGCCUGACGGAGCGACGCCGUGUGGGUGAUGAAGUCCUUCGGGAUGUAAAGCCCUGUCGGGGGGGACGAUAUUGACGGUACCCUCAGAGGAAGCCACGGCUAACUACGUGCCAGCAGCCGCGGUAAUACGUAGGUGGCGAGCGUUGUCCGGAAUCAUUGGGCGUAAAGCGCGCGUAGGUGGUUUCUUAAGUCGGGUGUAAAAUUCUUCGGCCCAACCGGGGCAUGCACCCGAAACUGAGGAGCUGGAGAGAGUCAGAGGGAAGCGGAACUUGCGGUGUAGCGGUGAAAUGCGUAGAUAUCGCAAGGACCACCAGUGGCGAAGGCGGCUUCCUGGCCCGCACCUGACGCUCAAGCGCGAAAGCGUGGGGAGCGAACGGGAUUAGAUCCCCCUGUAGU
This 438-nucleotide ribosomal RNA is filed under the name uncultured bacterium. Its description in RNAcentral is "partial 16S ribosomal RNA". It matches the Rfam family "Bacterial small subunit ribosomal RNA", at positions 338 to 794 of the family's 1533-position model. The record is from RNAcentral.